UACGGAGGGGGCUAGCGUUGUUCGGAAUCACUGGGCGUAAAGGGUGCGUAGGCGGGUCUUUAAGUCAGAGGUGAAAUCCUGGAGCUCAACUCCAGAACUGCCCUUGAUACUGAGGAUCUUGAGUUCGGGAGAGGUGAGUGGAACUGCGAGUGUAGAGGUGAAAUUCGUAGAUAUUCGGAAGAACACCAGUGGCGAAGGCGACUCACUGGCCCGUUACUGACGCUGAGGCUCGAAAGCGUGGGGAGCAAACAGG
Molecule: ribosomal RNA, 253 nt
Filed under: uncultured bacterium
Lineage: Bacteria
Description: partial 16S ribosomal RNA
Rfam family: Bacterial small subunit ribosomal RNA
Source: RNAcentral